UCUGCCAAUGACCCUGUCAGGGCGGAAGACGAUCUCCAACUCCAGAAAGGAACAGUACCUAACACCUUGAUUGAGAGACUCUGCGCAGAAACCCAGCUAAGCCAUUUACCUGGACUCCUGACUCAGUUUAUGAGUAAAUAGAGGAGCAAGGACACACAAGGAUUGUACUCUCUACAAAUUCCAAAGAAAGGGAAGUCACAAUGAAAUGAAGUAUACAAUCGGACCUGAUCAAGUUUUUGAUCCAAUUAACAGAAAGAAACUAGCUCUAUCUGACAUGGAAGAAAAGGAGGUUAUUAAAAGAAUCAUUGGAAAGACCAAAGACCCAAGCUGUAAAUUAAUUAAUUGCCAGGAAUAAAAAGAAAAAACACUGCA
This is a long non-coding RNA of Suricata suricatta (meerkat), 372 nucleotides long. RefSeq lists it as uncharacterized. The record is from RefSeq and is a predicted model, not a curated record. The transcript has 2 exons. NCBI's taxonomy places the organism in Eukaryota, Metazoa, Chordata, Mammalia, Carnivora, Herpestidae.